This 253-nucleotide ribosomal RNA is filed under the name uncultured bacterium. RNAcentral's name for it is "partial 16S ribosomal RNA". It matches the Rfam family "Bacterial small subunit ribosomal RNA", at positions 524 to 776 of the family's 1533-position model. The record is from RNAcentral.
UACGUAGGGACCAAGCGUUGUUCGGAUUUACUGGGCGUAAAGGGCGCGUAGGCGGCAUGACAAGUCACUUGUGAAAUCUCCGGGCUUAACUCGGAACGGCCAAGUGAAACUGUCAAGCUAGAGUGCGGAAGGGGCAAUCGGAAUUCUUGGUGUAGCGGUGAAAUGCGUAGAUAUCAAGAGGAACACCUGAGGUGAAGACGGGUUGCUGGGCCGACACUGACGCUGAUGCGCGAAAGCCGGGGGAGCAAACGGG